RNAcentral lists this ribosomal RNA (253 nucleotides) under uncultured bacterium. RNAcentral's name for it is "partial 16S ribosomal RNA". It matches the Rfam family "Bacterial small subunit ribosomal RNA", at positions 524 to 776 of the family's 1533-position model. The record is from RNAcentral.
UACAGAGGGGGCAAGCGUUGUUCGGAAUUACUGGGCGUAAAGGGCGCGUAGGCGGCCUGUUAAGUCGAACGUGAAAUCCCCGGGCUCAACCCGGGAACUGCGUCCGAUACUGGCAGGCUUGAAUCCGGGAGAGGGAUGUGGAAUUCCAGGUGUAGCGGUGAAAUGCGUAGAUAUCAGGAAGAACACCAAUGGCGAAGGCAGCUCUCUGGGACGGUACUGACGCUGAGACGCGAAAGCGUGGGGAGCGAACAGG